Molecule: long non-coding RNA, 1047 nt
Filed under: Panax ginseng (ginseng)
Lineage: Eukaryota; Viridiplantae; Streptophyta; Magnoliopsida; Apiales; Araliaceae
Description: long non-coding RNA (PGIN_LNC012449)
Source: RNAcentral
GAGAGUUGAUUUUUUUUUCUUCGUAAAUUAUUGUUUCUGGUGGAGGUACCAACAAAUAAUCCUGAAGAAAAUGGAUUUGAUCCUACUACUCAGGUACGCUUUCCCAUGAUGAACAUCAACGACGCAAGUACAACCCAGUAUUAUUUAUUUUGUGAUUCCAAUAUGUUUUGAUUUUUGAGUUUGGUUAAAAACAAUUUUAUAAAAAUAUUUCUUUUUUUUGUUUAAUUUCUUUUUUUUGUUGUUGUAGUAGUUGUUGAAUAUUUGUUUAUUGGUGUUAUUCAAUAGUCUUUCACAUCCGGAAACCCUCUUCACAGAUUAUGAUGCAAUCCUAUCUGGAACCUAGGGAUGAGGUCAGUUUCAAGGUGAGUUUUUGUACCUUAAAUAAAUUCAGAAGAAAUUCUCUCUUUUCUAAUUUCGUAGUCCCACGUAGUUAGUAUGAAGGUAUAUUUGGAGGACUGCAUGGUAAUUAUGAGGUUUAUAUGGAGGUUUGGUCUAUAUAGAAUUGAUUUUGGCCCUUACAAGGUGUAACAUCACCAGAUUUCAACCUCCCUUGUCUUUUUGUUUGAAAGCUUUACUUUUAUGAAACAUCAAAAUGAGUCUGCUUUGGACUAUGGGUAUGAUAAGCUAAAUACUUGGUAUUUUUAUGACUCGUAAGUUUUCUGAUUUUUUAGGAGUAUGCAUAUGCAUACCCUUUAAUUAUUUACAUUUUUGUUAUAUAUACCUUUUACAAUUAUAUAUAGUUCUCAAGUCAAGUACAGAAUCAUCAAAUCUUUGUCUCAUGUGGUCAUAACCCUCUUCGCAGUGAAAAGAGCAUGGAUUGAGGAAGAGUUUACAUUAUGGAAGAAAACAGGUCCAGUUUGAUAUUUAUCUUUUUUAAUUCUAAUUAAGAAAAGUAGGUUCAUUUUGUGUUUGUUAGAGACUUGCAACCAUCUAAACUUGUCAAAUUUUGUCUUGUGUUUUUAAUCAUCUAAAGUUGCUGGGUCUUUUUGUUAUAAUAAUCUGGGUGAUAUAACAGAGAAUAGUAAUGUAUCAAAACUUGUAGGGAAG